GUGUAAUAUUUGGGUAUUUAGUUGUAUAUAAUUAUAAGGAAAAACUUCAAAAACCCCCCCUGUGGUUUCGUAGUUUCUCACUUUGCCGCCCUGUGGUUUAAAAUGUAUCAAUUUGCCCCCAUAUGAUUUUAUUUUUCUCUUUUUCUUAUCAAUUUUAUUAUUUUUUUUUCUUAAAUCAGUAAUAAAGUUAAAAUUUAAGGGUACUAAAGUGAAUAUUUGAUAAAUCUAGAUGGAUAUCUAAAAUUUUUUGUAUAUAAUUUAACGAAAUAUUAACGAAAAAGCUACCGAAAAGAUAAAAACGAAACCACAGGGGGGCAAAUUGAUACACUUUAAACCACAGGGGGGCAAAGUGAGAAACUACGAAACCACAGAGGGGGUUUUUGAAGUUUUCCCUAAUUAUAAUUGCAUUAUAAUUAUAAUUAUAUAUAAAUAAAAAUUUGAUAUUUAGUUAAUUUAUUAAUCUCAACUGCUGUAGUAAAAAUUACAGGAAAAAGGCUUAACUGCAGAGGCUGAAAGUUGGAACUACGCUUAAAUUGACUGUAGUUUCAACUAUAAUAGUUAAAGAAAAUAACUUUAAGCAAAAUACAAAUUUAGCUCCUUAAUUAUUUUUUAAAUAAAAAAUAUUUUUUUUAUAUAUUCUUUAUAUAUCGGAGGUAAUCUUAGUAUUAUAUAUAUAAAAUAAUAAAAUUUUAAAAUUCAUUUUUCAACUUCAUGCAACUAAAUAAAUUAUUAGAAAAACUUCAAAUAUGGCCCAUAUGAUUUCACACUUUUUUAUUUUAGUAUGUGGUUUAAAGUAUAUUAAUUUAGUAUCCCGUGGUUUCAUUUUUCUCAUUUUAUUAUUUCUUUCACUAAUUUUUUUCGUUAAAUUAGUGACAAAGUUAAAACUAAAAGAUACUAAAGUGAAUAUUCGAUAAACCUAGUAGGGUAUCUGAAGUUUUUUGUAUAUAAUUUAAUGACAUGUUAAAAGAGAAGCUGACAAAAAGAAAAAAAAUGAAAUCACAAGAUACUAAAUUGAUAAACUUUAAACCACAUCGUACUAAAAUGAAAAAGUACGAAACCACAGGGGUGGAAUUUGAAGUUUAUCCUAAAUUAUUUAUAGUUGUAGCGCUUUCUACUACAUCUAAGCAAACAAAAUAUAUAUAGUUAUAAUUGCUGCAUUUUCAACUGCAUGCAUCUUCAAUUAUACUGUAAUUAUAAUUACAUCUAACCAAGUAAUUCCUCACACUACAUCAUUUAUUAUCCGUCAAUUAUAUUUUUUUUAAAAAGUAUUAUUAAUAUUUUUUAAAAAUAUAAUAAUGAAAACGGAUAAAAUUUAGGACAGCUUUUUAAUUAGUUGGAAGUAU
RNAcentral lists this long non-coding RNA (1343 nucleotides) under Ananas comosus (pineapple). RNAcentral describes it as "long non-coding RNA (ACOM_LNC008202)". The record is from RNAcentral. Lineage: Eukaryota; Viridiplantae; Streptophyta; Magnoliopsida; Poales; Bromeliaceae.